CGUGGGGAACCUGCCCCAUAGUCUGGGAUACCACUUGGAAACAGGUGCUAAUACCGGAUAAGAAAGCGGAUCGCAUGAUCAGCUUUUAAAAGGCGGCGUAAGCUGUCGCUAUGGGAUGGCCCCGCGGUGCAUUAGCUAGUUGGUAAGGUAAAGGCUUACCAAGGCGAUGAUGCAUAGCCGAGUUGAGAGACUGAUCGGCCACAUUGGGACUGAGACACGGCCCAAACUCCUACGGGAGGCAGCAGCA
RNAcentral lists this ribosomal RNA (247 nucleotides) under uncultured Lactobacillus sp. RNAcentral's name for it is "partial 16S ribosomal RNA". It matches the Rfam family "Bacterial small subunit ribosomal RNA", at positions 116 to 355 of the family's 1533-position model. Lineage: Bacteria; Bacillati; Bacillota; Bacilli; Lactobacillales; Lactobacillaceae. The record is from RNAcentral.